CACUCACGCUGUGGUUGGAUAAGUGGGGCUUCACCUAAUGUUUGCUGCUCUGUGAUUUUAUGCAUGCUCCGAAGAAAGCCUGUGGAAGGCAAUGACGGAUUAAAGAUCUUGGCAGAAGCAAACAGCCUGGCAGGCCACAGGUGGCCACAUCAGUGCAUGACCCUUCCAUCAUCAAGAACAGCUUCUGAAAGUCAAAGGCAAUAUCCAGGAUUCAAGACUCACCCACAUGACCUCAAAGCAUUUAUCAAAAGAAGCAAACCAUUGGGAAAGGCUUACGGACGGAGUAGCAGAGUGAUAUAAUGAGGAACACAGGAAGAAAAAAUGAGCUGCACAUGACCCAAAGCGUACCUGUUCAUUAGUGACAUGCACACUUGGUUACGCAUUGACUCAGUGGUCUUUAACGCAACUGCAGAUGGCAACAGAAAGAUGAUUCUGAAAUAUACAGAAGCGUCUCAAUUGCAUCAAUCCAGCGCAAGAAACCGAGAGACAGGAGCUUUGCCAGCCCUUCUAUCCAGAAAAUCCUGCUUCUCUAGAAACUGAGUGUUACACCAGGCAAGUCUACAGUGAGAAACUGACCCGUCUACUACAAGACGUUCAAAUUGUCUCCUGACCAAAUGAAAUAACCACUUGAAUCUGAACAAAUUAUAUAGGCUGGGGAACAUCACAACCCUACUGGUAAGAAGACAUAACAGUGGACAGUUUCAUAACUGCCAAGAUAAAGAAGGGUUUGUCAGAAAUCUAAUUACUGACAGUACUACUGUUCCCUGCAUGAAUCACACACACACACACACACACACACACACACACACACACACACACACACACACACACACCCCUACAUUCUUUCCAAAUAACAGCACGAGGAAGCCCUCUGCACAGACUUUACAAGUCAAGGCCAUACAGGGUGUGUCUAUAACCAGCUGUUAUAUUCCACAAUACCGCAUUAGCUAACUGUUAUAUUCCACAAUACUGUA
This is a long non-coding RNA of Electrophorus electricus (electric eel), 974 nucleotides long. RefSeq lists it as uncharacterized. The record is from RefSeq and is a predicted model, not a curated record. Lineage: Eukaryota; Metazoa; Chordata; Actinopteri; Gymnotiformes; Gymnotidae.